GUCCGGAUUCGCAGAAGUGAGCUGUAGUGGUGUACAAAUUGCCAAUACCAUUGUUAUCGAACUGCCAGGUAGAACUUAGUUGCGAGUGUUUUCCCUACAGAGUGCAGAGCUGAAAAACUUCUUGUUGAUUUAGAUCCAAUCAAUGAAUCCCAUGUUUAUUAGUAUUGUAAUUUUCUUAAUGUUUUAACCACACUUGUGGAUAGAAGUAUAUACAAAUUUGAUGGGACUGAUUCAAUGGCAAUUAUUGUUCUUAGAGCCUUUGUCGCAUCUUCGAAGGGUUUUGCCUUUCGUAUUAUUAGGUUCAGUGAAUGAAGCGAAAACUGGAAAAGCAGCCUCGGAAAUUAUGUAAUAUUGUCGCUUGCUAGGCAGAGCUUGUGGCUUCUGUCUGCUGCAGGUAUCCGAGCUUGUUGAGACAAUUUGAAGGACAUGUUUGUAUUGUCGAUGCUUAAAAAUAAGGUCUGAGUUCAAAUUCUAAGAAUUUGUUGCCAUAAUAUCAGCCUUGGCAGUCCGAAGUUUAUUUUGUUUCAAUGUUAGUUAUUGAAAGUUAUCUUUUCGAACUAAACGAACAAAGUGAAAAUCAGACUUGUAUCACUUCCAUCUUUUUAAUUUUAAGAAUGGAUAGCAGAUCAUUGCAUUAGGGAAUGUCGCAGCCUGAGCAAGGUCCGUUGCUCAGAUGAGAAAGUCUGGGAAAAAAAAAAAAAAAGCCAUUGAACAUGCCCUUUGGGUAGCCAGUUUGCACGUUAGUUGUAGUGUUCGCGGUUAAGGCUGCAGGCAUGCUGGAGGAAUUAAUCUUCCAGUAGUGGUGAAUCUGAUUUUUCAAUCAAACAAGUUCUGGGGUUCGUUGUAAUAAGUUUUCUGAAUGGUGAGUGGUUAAAAGAGAGAGAGAGAGAGAUGAUGAAAAUUUGAAGAUCUGUAACGCUGGGGAAAACAAGUAGCUAAUGGUAUGGCAGAAAUUACAAAAGAAUUGUAAUGGAGAAUCGAAGGAAAAAUAAUAAAGUAACGGUGUUGGAUUUCCAUGGAUCUGGGGGAUACGUCUACGGAGCCCGUUGAGAAAUCCGAACCUGGAAUUUGGAUGCAGCAAUUAAUGUUCGCAAAUGAAUCCCGCGGUCAGUCCCGUGUUUUGUUGUUUGUACGAGUCCUGAAAUGGGCUUUUCUUUCAGUCCUUGGACUUGGGAUUCCAUGGCUUCUCUUAUCAGUCCAUGUAGAGGAAUGAAUUUGUCAUUGGAAAAAUAUAAAGGAUCGCUGGUAAAAAUUGAUAUUAAUCGAAGAUCUUUUGUUAUUAAA
Long non-coding RNA from Prosopis cineraria, 1284 nucleotides. RefSeq lists it as uncharacterized. Lineage: Eukaryota; Viridiplantae; Streptophyta; Magnoliopsida; Fabales; Fabaceae. The record is from RefSeq and is a predicted model, not a curated record. The transcript is spliced from 2 exons.